GAUGAACGCUGGCGGCGUGCCUAAUACAUGCAAGUCGAGCGAACAGAUAAGGAGCUUGCUCCUUUGACGUUAGCGGCGGACGGGUGAGUAACACGUGGGUAACCUACCUAUAAGACUGGGAUAACUUCGGGAAACCGGAGCUAAUACAGGAUAACAUUUGGAACCGCAUGGUUCUAAAGUGAAAGAUGGUUUUGCUAUCACUUAUAGAUGGACCCGCGCCUUAUUAGCUAGUUGGUAAGGUAACGGCUUACCAAGGCAACGAUACGUAGCCGACGAGAGAGGGUGAUCGGCCACAGUGGAACUGGUACACGGUCCAGACUCCUACGGGGGGCAGCAGUAGGGGAUCGUCCGCAAUGGUCGAAAGCCUGACGGAACAACGCCGCGUGAGUGAUGAAAGGUUUCGGCUCGUAAAACUCUGUUAUUAGGUAAGAACGAACGUGUAAGUAACUGUGCACGUCUUGACGGUACCUAAUCAGAAAGCCACGGCUAACUACGUG
RNAcentral lists this ribosomal RNA (497 nucleotides) under uncultured bacterium. RNAcentral describes it as "partial 16S ribosomal RNA". It matches the Rfam family "Bacterial small subunit ribosomal RNA", at positions 28 to 507 of the family's 1533-position model. The record is from RNAcentral.